This is a long non-coding RNA of Scophthalmus maximus (turbot), 3324 nucleotides long. The record is from Ensembl. Lineage: Eukaryota; Metazoa; Chordata; Actinopteri; Pleuronectiformes; Scophthalmidae.
AUGGCUUGUGAUUGUUUCCCGUUCUGUCAGUCGCGUUGUGCAAAUGAACAAAUCUCUGCCGCAGACCGAGGAAAUGAGGCCGAAGGCCGAACAUCUAGACGGCAUUUUAAGAGCACGCAACUCCAGAAGAGAAUUCAAGAAUUGAACAUGUUUGUCGUGGGAACCUCCGCCCCCUCCCUCAAGGUGGAGACCCCUGUACACCAGGUUCUUGCAUCAUUGUUUCUCAAAUCCAUAAAAAACAUUAUUUGACUUUUCUUGUAACCAUCACAUUCCUCGUCGCCUCACCACUGAACCCAUCGAGCCGCAUGGUUAUCAAUAUAUCUACCGUCUACCGUCUCAUCUGGAACUGCUUGUCAGAAGACCCCACAGGGCACGAAUGAGCCCCGUGCUCUACAGUUACUCACCUCACAUACAUAGUUUCCUCACUUAUACUUCGAUAACAUCACAGGUGUGAGUUGCAUCUACUUCCUGUUCCUCUCUGAUUUCUCGCUCGGGGAAAGGAGUUGGUCAUAUUGCAAAUUGCCGGCCUUUACUGGCAAUGAGAAUUACAUGCAUUAAAGUAAUUGACUCCAAUGUAAUUAAAGUUGCAUUCCUGUUUAAUCAAAGGUCCCGAAUCGCUGCUGCUGCUGCCGCGAGAACUUUGAUAACACAGAGGAGGCAGUGUGCUGAAAAUGGGCCGAAUCUUCUGGAAUGGGCGCUGACUUAUUUGUAGGUGGUCUAAUCAUCUCAGCUCCUCACCCAGACCCAUCUUCAUCGGCUUUUAUUCCCCCCCACAGUGACAUCAUUUGAGUCUGUGACGAACACACCGCACACACACACAGACACACACACACACCUCGCAUAUGUGGUGCUGCUGACCCAAGAAGACAAAUCAGAACAGCCUCGGGCCUCGGCCUGCCCAACCAAAGAGGUGAGGUCAUCCGACAGAACCUCAUUUUCCCUCAAAUUGCACCUCUGAUCAGCGCGGUGUUUCCUGCAACAAUUACACUGACCCCAAGUCCUCAUUAGCAAAUAGUGUGGAGGAGGGAGGAGAAUUUAAAAAAAAGAAGGACAAAGACCACUUGGUUUGUGAGGAGCAUGAUGUUUGGUUCAGAGAGAGGGGUAUUUGUGAUUUUUUUCUUUCUAACCCUACUCUUUUAUCUCCCGUCAUGUCUUGGGGCUUCUUCUCCACAUCACCGUUUGAUUAGUGAAUCCCGGGUUCUGCAUCAUGUGCUGGGAGUCUGAGGAGGAGAGCGCUCCGCGGUAAUGCAGAGGUCACGGUGCUGCGUCCCUCACAAGAAGCCUGUCUGAGUUCCUGAUAAAUGGAUUGACUCAUUCCGAGAGGAGAAUUCUGCCAUUUCAAAAGGAGAAAAGAAGACAUGAAAGUGAAGCUCUUUAGGUUGUUAAUUAUGAGGGUUGAAUUACCUGCAGCAUUUAUUUUUCUUUCCUGGUUUAUUAGUUCGUGACAUGUAAAUUUAUAUUGCAGUUAAUCACUACAACUCUGACAACAUGCUGCAAAAGCUUUGCAUCCAAUUAGAGGGCUCAUAUUUCUCCUUAAUAUAUUCACUCACCAAGACAAUGACUCAUAUAAAGACAAUAUGCACCUGGCACGUUUGAGGUCACAUACAGGACAACUGUUAAUGUAUUAUUUUGUAGCUGUAUAUAGCUCCAUGAUUAUGGCAAAUCUUGGUCUGUGGUGCCACCUAUGAAAUCCAGACUGGAAUAUCUCAACAACUAUUGGAUGAUUUGAUAGAGAUGUUUAUGGUUUCUACAGGAUCCAACAAAGUGGUGGUUGAUCUCUCGGUUUAGUGCCAUAGAUUUGAUUCGCCCAGAGAUUGACAACUUCAAUAUCCAUUCUAUUCGCAUUUGUUAUGAAUGCCAAUGGCUGUUUCUAUCAUGUCUCAUCUUAAAAUAUCUUAAAGAAUUUGGCGAUCCCCCUCCAGAGGUUCACAUUUGUGGAUUUGAGUCAAACACCUUGACAACCUUCGGAUGAAUGGGCCCAAAAAUUCCUCACAAACUCUUGUUACAUUGGUAAUCCUCGUUACUCUGUCCACUACUUUGGUUUCUGACGCCACCCGUUGGUUUGUGAGCUGCCGUUUUGAAGCCUUGAAUUUCGCAUUUUGACCAGCGCCACGUUUGUUUUUUGGCACUGAUUGGAUGAACCAGCGGUCACGCUGUAUCCACGCUACGGUAUACAUUGGCUAUUGUCUAUUGUCUAUUUGACUCCAAAUGGACCAUAAUUUACUAAAUGAAAAUCAUGCGGUAUUGAAGAAGACUUGAAACUAGAGAUUGGACCAUAAACUAAUCAGGAAAAUGUUUACUGACGUUAUAAAUCAAGUGAGAAGUAGAGUCAAUUUCUCAUAGACUUCUGUAGAAACAUGGAGUGGAGUCGCCCUCUGCUGGGGAAUCCAGAGAAUACAGGCUUCAGGCGCUUCCGCAUUGGCUUAAUUUUCCGAACUUGGUGACUAUACGUCCAUUUUUAUAUACAGUAUGCUUAAUACAUGUAAAUCUAAUGGCCCUGCAGCUGCACCAAAUGCUAACAUGUUAGCAUGCUUGUACUUUAUGAUAUUCAAAAUAAUCACUAAAUAACAUCCAUUUUGAGUCUUAUUAUUUUCAAUAAAUCUUGAAGACAUAUUUUUGCUCUAAUCUCAGACAGAAAAUCCGUCGGUAUCUCAAAAUAAUGACCAUCCCUCUGUUUUUUCAUAUGCUCAAACACGCUUGUUCCGUCUCACCCACUUCUUGUUUGCAGAAAUAUAUAUGUACAGUUUCGGGCGAUGCAAGAACCUGAUUCAUCCUCAAAACACGGGGGCCCGCCGAGCAAGAGCUGGAAACUGUCGUAAUUCAUUCAUGCUGCUGCAGGCCAAACCGCUCCCACUUGAGUCGGUUUGAUCUACGAGUGUCCGCGAGCCCCAGACACAUGUAAAUGUACACCAAACUAAUUGGUGCAGCAACAGUCAGGGGGUUUUAAAUCAGCACUUGUAUCACCUGUUCCCUGGAACCAGAGGGAGGGAGAGAAGAGAAACACCUUUGCUGAUUACCCCGUGAUUUGUUUCACUUUUCUCAGGUUCACAUCUGUAUGACUUUGUGCUUUGGUCUGAUCUUUGCUCUGAAUUACUACAUUUUGAGAUGCAUUUUAGGUCAAUAUGUUCAUAAAAUAUGAGCUUUUAAAAACGUUCCCGUUUUCGUAGAGCUGCUGGAAGGAGAAGACAGUGAUGAACCCCCCGCUCACCAGGAAAACUGAGCACGUCCAAAACCGUUACAUGUGCAACCUGGAACAAAUGUUUAUGCAGCUUUUGACAAAAGCAAUUGAUGGAAAUGUUUCGUUGUUCGUAAAGACGCCAAAAG